Molecule: ribosomal RNA, 571 nt
Filed under: Bacillus sp. F1(2005)
Lineage: Bacteria; Bacillati; Bacillota; Bacilli; Caryophanales; Bacillaceae
Description: bacterial SSU rRNA
Rfam family: Bacterial small subunit ribosomal RNA (bases 1-500)
Source: RNAcentral
UCGCAAGACUGAAACUCAAAGGAAUUGACGGGGGCCCGCACAAGCGGUGGAGCAUGUGGUUUAAUUCGAAGCAACGCGAAGAACCUUACCAGGUCUUGACAUCCUCUGACAAUCCUAGAGAUAGGACGUCCCCUUCGGGGGCAGAGUGACAGGUGGUGCAUGGUUGUCGUCAGCUCGUGUCGUGAGAUGUUGGGUUAAGUCCCGCAACGAGCGCAACCCUUGAUCUUAGUUGCCAGCAUUCAGUUGGGCACUCUAAGGUGACUGCCGGUGACAAACCGGAGGAAGGUGGGGAUGACGUCAAAUCAUCAUGCCCCUUAUGACCUGGGCUACACACGUGCUACAAUGGACAGAACAAAGGGCAGCGAAACCGCGAGGUUAAGCCAAUCCCACAAAUCUGUUAUCAGUUCGGAUCGCAGUCUGCAAAUAGAGUGUGUGAAGCUGGAAUAGUUAGUAAUAGCUAGAGAGCGUGCCUCCGUGAAUAAGUAAGUGGGAGCUAGAUAGAGAUCGAUCCUCCCUCAGUAAGUACUAACUAGCUAGAGUGAGUCGAGCCUCACUAAGUAGGACAAGCAGA